This 1371-nucleotide ribosomal RNA is filed under the name Salmonella enterica subsp. enterica serovar Muenster. Its description in RNAcentral is "partial 23S ribosomal RNA". It matches the Rfam family "Bacterial large subunit ribosomal RNA", at positions 137 to 1548 of the family's 2925-position model. Lineage: Bacteria; Pseudomonadati; Pseudomonadota; Gammaproteobacteria; Enterobacterales; Enterobacteriaceae. The record is from RNAcentral.
GACUCGUCACACUAUCAUUAACUGAAUCCAUAGGUUAAUGAGGCGAACCGGGGGAACUGAAACAUCUAAGUACCCCGAGGAAAAGAAAUCAACCGAGAUUCCCCCAGUAGCGGCGAGCGAACGGGGAGGAGCCCAGAGCCUGAAUCAGCAUGUGUGUUAGUGGAAGCGUCUGGAAAGGCGCGCGAUACAGGGUGACAGCCCCGUACACAAAAGCGCAUGUGCUGUGAGCUCGAUGAGUAGGGCGGGACACGUGGUAUCCUGUCUGAAUAUGGGGGGACCAUCCUCCAAGGCUAAAUACUCCUGACUGACCGAUAGUGAACCAGUACCGUGAGGGAAAGGCGAAAAGAACCCCGGCGAGGGGAGUGAAAAAGAACCUGAAACCGUGUACGUACAAGCAGUGGGAGCACAGGUUUACCUGUGUGACUGCGUACCUUUUGUAUAAUGGGUCAGCGACUUAUAUUCUGUAGCAAGGUUAACCGAAUAGGGGAGCCGGAGGGAAACCGAGUCUUAAUUGGGCGUUAAGUUGCAGGGUAUAGACCCGAAACCCGGUGAUCUAGCCAUGGGCAGGUUGAAGGUUGGGUAACACUAACUGGAGGACCGAACCGACUAAUGUUGAAAAAUUAGCGGAUGACCUGUGGCUGGGGGUGAAAGGCCAAUCAAACCGGGAGAUAGCUGGUUCUCCCCGAAAGCUAUUUAGGUAGCGCCUCGUGAAUUCAUCUCCGGGGGUAGAGCACUGUUUCGGCUAGGGGGCCAUCCCGGCUUACCAACCCGAUGCAAACUGCGAAUACCGGAGAAUGUUAUCACGGGAGACACACGGCGGGUGCUAACGUCCGUCGUGAAGAGGGAAACAACCCAGACCGCCAGCUAAGGUCCCAAAGUCAUGGUUAAGUGGGAAACGAUGUGGGAAGGCCCAGACAGCCAGGAUGUUGGCUUAGAAGCAGCCAUCAUUUAAAGAAAGCGUAAUAGCUCACUGGUCGAGUCGGCCUGCGCGGAAGAUGUAACGGGGCUAAACCAUGCACCGAAGCUGCGGCAGCGACGCUGAUGCGUUGUUGGGUAGGGGAGCGUUCUGUAAGCCUGUGAAGGUGGCCUGUGAGGGUUGCUGGAGGUAUCAGAAGUGCGAAUGCUGACAUAAGUAACGAUAAAGCGGGUGAAAAGCCCGCUCGCCGGAAGACCAAGGGUUCCUGUCCAACGUUAAUCGGGGCAGGGUGAGUCGACCCCUAAGGCGAGGCCGAAAGGCGUAGUCGAUGGGAAACGGGUUAAUAUUCCCGUACUUGGUGUUACUGCGAAGGGGGGACGGAGAAGGCUAUGUUGGCCGGGCGACGGUUGUCCCGGUUUAAGCGUGUAGGUGUGUGUUCCAGGUAAAUCCGGUUC